This 469-nucleotide ribosomal RNA is filed under the name uncultured bacterium. RNAcentral's name for it is "partial 16S ribosomal RNA". It matches the Rfam family "Bacterial small subunit ribosomal RNA", at positions 28 to 507 of the family's 1533-position model. The record is from RNAcentral.
GACGAACGCUGGCGGCGUGCUUAACACAUGCAAGUCGAACGGAAAGGCCCUGCUUGCCGGGUGCUCGAGUGGCGAACGGGUGAGUAACACGUGGGUGAUCUGCCCCUUACUUUGGGAUAAGCCUGGGAAACUGGGUCUAAUACUGGAUAGGACCAUGCUGUAGGUGGUGUGGUGGAAAGAUUAGUUUCGGUAAGGGAUGAGCUCGCGGCCUAUCAGCUUGUUGGUGGGGUAAUGGCCUACCAAGGCGUCGACGGGUAGCCGGCCUGAGAGGGUGGACGGCCACAUUGGGACUGAGAUACGGCCCAGACUCCUACGGGAGGCAGCAGUGGGGAAUAUUGCACAAUGGGCGCAAGCCUGAUGCAGCGACGCCGCGUGGGGGAUGACGGCCUUCGGGUUGUAAACUCCUUUCAGCCAUGACGAAGCCCUUGUGGUGACGGUAGUGGCAGAAGAAGCACCGGCUAACUACGUG